UACAGAGACUGCAAGCGUUAUUCGGAUUCACUGGGCGUAAAGGGUGCGCAGGCGGUUUGGUGUGUCAGAUGUGAAAUCCCGAGGCUUAACCUCGGAACUGCGUCUGAAACUACUCGACUAGAGUACUGGAGAGGGUAACGGAAUUCACGGUGUAGCAGUGAAAUGCGUAGAUAUCGUGAGGAACACCAGAGGCGAAGGCGGUUACCUGGACAGUUACUGACGCUCAGGCACGAAAGCAUGGGGAGCAAAAGGG
This 253-nucleotide ribosomal RNA is filed under the name uncultured bacterium. RNAcentral's name for it is "partial 16S ribosomal RNA". It matches the Rfam family "Bacterial small subunit ribosomal RNA", at positions 524 to 776 of the family's 1533-position model. The record is from RNAcentral.